AAUUUAAGGUUUUGGGAAGAAAAUACAUAGUAUUAGCAGGAGAGAAUCCGGUGUGAGUCCGGAGCUACAGCCAUAACUGUAAGAGCAUUUUUGCUUAAGCCAGAUCGCUCGUCCCACAAAUCAGAAA
Molecule: non-coding RNA, 127 nt
Filed under: Eshraghiella crossota
Lineage: Bacteria; Bacillati; Bacillota; Clostridia; Lachnospirales; Lachnospiraceae
Source: RNAcentral